RNAcentral lists this long non-coding RNA (2425 nucleotides) under Felis catus (domestic cat). RNAcentral describes it as "lncRNA (ENSFCAG00000053125.1)". Lineage: Eukaryota; Metazoa; Chordata; Mammalia; Carnivora; Felidae. The record is from RNAcentral.
GCGAAAGGUCUCAGGGAAGAGCAUGCUAGCACAACAGCAAGGGCAAAGACGCUGAGGCAGAAAUGAACUUGGCAUGUACCAAGAACAGCCCAGAGGGUCUAUGAGGCUGGUGCAGGAAGAAGAAUAGAGAAUGGUAGGGUAUGCGUUGGAGAGAUCAUGUAAGGCCUUGGGAAUUUCUUUUAAAAACAAGUGAUGAGAAGCUUGUGCCAGAAACUGUAUCUGGCUACAUGCAAUAGAAACUCUAUCACAGAAAUUUGAUCAAGUCGUGAAUUUAUGUAUUUUUUCUCAUGUAACAAGAAGUCUAGGGAUGGCCAUUCAAAGGCUGAUGCCGCGGUUCAAGGAGCAAGAUCCCUUUUCCCUUCCUGUCCUGACAUCUUUGACAUGGCUGCUCUAUCUUUGGGUACUCGCUUUCCAGGCAGAAACAAAGGAAAACAGGGUCAAAAGAUGUAUGGCAUUACACUCUCCCUUUUUCUCAGGGAAACAGUGGCUUUCUUAGAAUCCCUAUCAAGUCUCAUUGGUUAGAACCGAAUCACAUGGCCUCCCUAACUGCAAGGGAAUCUGGGAAAUGUAGAUUUCUAGCCUUGCCCAUUACUUUCUCCAAGAAGCAGGGGUAGAGGAAGGGAAGGUUGACAGUGGCUAGGAAACGGGCUAGUUGAAAAGUCAGUAUGGAGGGUUUUGAGCAGGGGAUUGGCCUGAUCUGAUUUAUGAUUUUAAAAGUGAUCAGCCGCUGCUGAGCAGCUGGAACAAAGGGGACAAAAGUGGACUUACAGAUGCCAGCUUGGAGGGUAUCGUGCAGUUUGAGAGAGGGAUGUUGGUGGCAGCAGUUGAAGCUAGAUCAGAGACUCAUUGUGAAGGUGGAGCCCGUAGGAGUGGCUGAUGAAUCACGUGCCCCGUGUGAGGGAAAGAGGAGGUGCCUUGGAGAGGGGAGUGGAGGAUGAAGAGAAGAGUGAAUUACUGAAGGCCGGACCUGGAAAGAUCUUCAGAGACAACCAAUACACUUUUCACUUUACAAAUGAAGACACUGGGAAGGACCAGAGAGGGGAGUUUUCUGCGGGUCAUCAGCAAGUGAGUGGGGGAGCCCGGAACAGACCUGGGGCUUCUGGGUCUGGGUGGUGUGGGCAGUAUCAUAUUUCUUUUCCUGAUUUUAUGCAUCUGUCUUUUUAUCCCUUACCGUCUAAAUGGAACCGCCUCUUGUUUGCAGAACUUUUGUCCGAACUGCUGGCUGCCCUUUGCUAUUUUUUUUUUUUUUACUUUAUUUAUUUUGAGAGAGAGAGAGAAAGAAGGGGAGGGGCAGAGAGAGAGGGAGAGAGAGAAUCCCAAGCAGGCUCCGCACUGUCAGUGCAGAGCUCUAUGCAAGGCUCGAACUCACAAACCACGAGAUCACGACCUGAGCCGAAAUCUAGAGUUGGACGCUUAACUGACUGAGCCACCCCAGUGCCCCUGCCUUUUGCCAUUUUAAUGCCUCCCUGAAGAGUAGUGCAGGCACCGUGAGGGUGACAACUGUAUUAUUUGCUUCUCUACCCGCCCUCACUGUGCACAGCAUGGUGCUGAACACACAGAAGCUUCCUGGUCACGUUCGUGGGGCCAGAAUGAACUUACUGUCCUGCAUACGAAACGGAGGACCAAACUCAGACAACUGUCUCAGUCCUGAAGUUGCCGGGAUGAAUUAGUUCUUUUCCUAAAGCUUUUCAUCCUGAACGAAUCCUGAGGUGUACAGAGUAGUGUUACCCCUCUUUUCUCUCUGCACCUCUCUUGUCUGGGUGUAGCCUGUAGCACUGGACAAAUGACUUUAAGAUAAAAACGGAAUCCUUAAAAAAAAAAAAUCUUGUUCCCUUCAUGUCACGCCUGCAGCAUAAAGCUAAUUUAUAGCUACAUGGAAUUUCUCUGGUCUUUGAGGUCUCAUUAUGCAAGUAAAGGAGAGGAAGGAAGAAGACAGAAUGCUUACAAAUUCCUGGGGGGCGGGGAAUGACCUCACCACUUACUGGGUGUUAGCCAACUGCCCAGGGACCACAGUUCAGAUUCCUUUUGGGGAGGCCCUGAAAAUCCCCUGAUAACCCAAACUCUCCAAAUCUUUUAGGUCUUGAGAGAGGGAUGGAGGGCAAGUUGAAGGAAGUAGUUCUAGGUCCAAGUGACAUUUCCCAUUAUGCACUGCCCACUCUGAGAUGGACUGUAUCCAACCUGAGUCCUGGUCAGAGACUCGGGACUUGGGAAGUCCACUGACGAGGCCUCAGCAGGAUGUGAGAGAGCCGAGUGGAGGAAGACGGGUAGUUGGGGGAGAAGGUGAAGCGGGUUGGAUAUGUUUGGGGAUAGGUACUCAAGAGGGUACAUAUGGGACAUGUGAACAAGAGGACAGAAGCCGCGGGAGUGGGCCUUUCUAUUCACAUCCCCAACGGCAUUUUCCUGUAUUCCCCUAAAAACAAUUCCA